GGAGCUCUGGUUGCAGUUUUCUCUUUUGUGGACUUUUCCCUGUGAGCCUAUAUCUUUAGAGACAGGGAGGCUCAGACUUUUCAGAGGAGAGGGAUGGGAGACCGAUGUAUUCAUAUGCAAUAGAAUCCUUCCCUCACAUGGCACAAGCUUGAACACAAUUGCAGCCCUCAUGCAGGCUGUGUUUGUGGAGGUGCCUGAAAGUAGAGAUAAAAACCUCCUGUGCUUUGUCUCUUUGAGGACAAGAGAUAAAUAGGUGAAUGAUGUCACUCCUCUUCUGUGACAGGUAACCACAUUCCUCUUUAUAAUACUGUCAAUCUCAUCUUAAAGGUAAGUAGAGUUCUUAUCCUAGUGACUCAGCUCAGUUGCCUGUGCUGGAGCUUCUAAUUGAUGACAGUACAUUCCAUUUUGCAUGCUUUUAUCAGCAUUUAAGAGGGUGGGUUUUCCAUGCACCAAAGGACUGGAAACUUGCUACUAUAACAGGAUCAAGAUGUCCAGGUAUUCUUCCAACAGCAUCAAGGACUUCUUGCUAUCAUGCAUUUCUGAUUUUAUGUUUUACAGAAGCUCCAGUUAUAUGAAGAUAGUUCUAUGGAUCAAUAUGAUAAUAGUUUAGAAGUAAAUCUGUCUUUCUGUAGUAGCCAGAAACACCACCUUUUUCAUACCUCCUCCAUCUCCCAAGCCAGAAGCACCAUGAGACUUUCAGUGAAAUCCUGGGAAUGGCAAGGCUAGCACCAGAGGUGACCAGAAGUUUUGGAAUUUAAAUCCAGUAACUGUGUCUGUUAAUCUUGUAUUGGUUACAAAAAUAAAUUCCCUAAUUGAGGUGCCAUUGUCAAACCUGGAAUUCAUCAGCUCCCCCUGCAGCAGCUGGUAGGCAUUCUUUUCCAACGUAGAAAGCACCACACUGACUAUGGCAUGCCCUGGGCUCCUCUACAGUGAUGUCUCUUACAAACAUCUCCAGUGCUAAGCAAGCAGGGUGACAGUAAAGUGCUCUCUUCCUGCAGGACUCCCGUAUCAAGUACAUAAAAAAAACCAUAGUGUGUGAAAACAAUGAAAUAGCUAUAUUUAGUCAUUUCUAACUUGAAAUAGAGCUUCUGCUUGAAAUGAGUUUACUAUGAGGUCCGGUAAAAAUCAUAGAAUCAUAGAAUGGCUUGGGUUUGAAGGGACCUCAAAGAUCAUCUAAUUCCACCCUCCUGCCAUGGGCAGGGUUGUCAACCACUAAAUCAGGUGCUAGAUCAGUCUGCUCAAGGUCCCAUCCAACCUGGCUUUGAACACCUCCAGGGAUGGGACAUCCACAAGUUCUCUGGGAAACCUGUUCUAUCAUAUCACCAACCUCUGACUGAAAAAUGUUCCACCUAACAUGUAGCCCAAAUCUCUCCUCUUUUAGUUUAAAACUGUUCCUCCUUGUCCUAUCACUAUUGGACCAUGGAAAAAGUUGGUGUCCCUCCUGUUUAUAGGUUCUGCUCAAGUACUGGAUGGCCGCAGUGAGGUUUACUCAGAGCCUUCUCAUCUCCAGACUGAACAAGGCUCCUUCAACCUUUCUUCAUAGGAGAGGUGUUCCAGCCUUCUUUGUGGCCCUCCUCUGGAACUGCUCCAACAACUCCUUAUCUUUCUUAUGCUGGGAACCUCAGAUGCAGUACUCCAGAUGAGGCAUCACAAGGUCGGAGUAGAGGGGGACAAAAACCCCUCUUCUUGUGAACUCUGGCCACUCCUCUUCUGAUGCAGCCCAAGAUGUAGUUGGCCUUCCAGGCUGCAAGCACACACAGCUGGCUCAUGUCCAGCUUUUAAUCCACCAGAACCCCCAAGUCCUUCUCUGCAGGGCUGCUCUCAAUUAGUUCUUCUCCCAGUCUGCACACGUCUGGAAUUGCUGUGACUUAAGUGCAAAACCUUGCACUUCACCCUACUGAACCUCGGUAUGUUCAUGUGGGCUCACUUCUCAAGCUUAUCCAGGUCCUUCUAGAUGGCAUCCCUCCCUUCUAUUAUAUCAACUACAUCACUUAGCUAGGUGUCGUCAGCAAACUUGCUGAGGGUGCACUUGUUCCCACUGUCUAGGUCACUGAUAAAGAUGUUAAAGAGCACCUGUCCUAAGACUGACAGACAUGACUUUUCAAAUAGGAUGAAGAGUGGCUUGGCAUUACAUCAGCCACUUCCACUGGAACUCUGGGAUGCAUGUUGUCCAGCCCAAUAGGCUUGUACAUAUUCAGUCUCAUGAGACAGUCUUGGACUUCCUCUUCUCUUACAAUGAGAGGGUUUUGCUCCUCCAGCCCCUGCCUGGAGGUUCAGUGUCAUGAAAUAUGUGGGAAGCCUGACUCUCAGUGAAGACCAAGGCAGAGAACUUGUUAAGUAUCUCAGUCUUCUCCAUGUCUGUUGUAGCCAGUUCUCAUUAAUCAGAGAGGGUAUAUUCUCCUUGAUCUGUGUCUUCUGACUAGUGUACCUGUAGAAUCCCUUCUUGUGAUUUUUCACAUCCCUCACCAAAUUCAGUUCUAUGUUUCUUUUGAAAUUGUUCCUAAGCAGGAAGAGGAGAUUCAUAGAGGAUUUAGGAAAACACAUCUUCAUGUUUCAGAAUCUUUAGGCAUUUCACUGAAAUACAGAAAUGUCUGUAACAUAAUGCAUUCUGCACAACUUAUUCUUCUAAGGCAACAUAUGAUAAAUUCUACUAUAAAGCCGUAGAAAUGAUACACGAAGCUUUCUAGGAUUUACAUGUUGCUUUGCCUUUUCAAUAACUUCUCUAAAACCCCAUGUAUCAUAGUCUAAUGAUGAUCUAUAACUAACAGUGGAGAAAAGGCAUGUGAGACAUUGAGAAUUACAUUGUCAUAAUGUGGCAUAUCUAUUUCAUUCAUAUUUCAUUUAUGUAGUUCAGGCUUUAGUUUUCAAUCCAAAAAUAAGAACUGGAAUAAAUUCAAUGAGGAAUCAAAGAAAUCCCACCAAAUGACCAAAAUAUUUCCCAAAUUCCUAUUUUCAUUAUUCAUAUUUCAAGGAAUUAAGUAUUGUUGUAGUGCAAGAAAUAACUGUACUCUACUCUUAGGGUUAUGAAAUGGAUAAGCUAUUAGGAAUUUUCUAUUUCUAACUGAUUGUGAUCUCACAUCAGUAUACCUCUGCUCACUUUUAAGGAAUUACCUCAGAAUUACUCUUAUGACAAAGGAGAGCAGGCUCCUGCAAUUCUAUAACUACUCAUACUAAGCUGUUCACACAUGCCUCCCAGAGUAAGGGCUUUCAAGAGAAUAUUGUGGAAAUUAGAUUCCAGUUUUCAUCACUUCAUUUAAUCACUUAC
Gallus gallus (chicken) is the source of this 3265-nucleotide long non-coding RNA. RefSeq lists it as uncharacterized. The record is from RefSeq and is a predicted model, not a curated record. The transcript is spliced from 3 exons. NCBI's taxonomy places the organism in Eukaryota, Metazoa, Chordata, Aves, Galliformes, Phasianidae.